RNAcentral lists this long non-coding RNA (217 nucleotides) under Cyanistes caeruleus (blue tit). RNAcentral describes it as "lncRNA (ENSCCEG00000000987.1)". The record is from RNAcentral. Lineage: Eukaryota; Metazoa; Chordata; Aves; Passeriformes; Paridae.
CCUGGCUCCGUGCUCCAGGUGCUGCUGUGCACAGAACCGUGUGGAAAAGAACUGUUCUGUGCCAGGUGUGAGAAUUGCAAAAUCUCUAAAGCUGGAAAUAAAAUGGAAAAGAUUUGCAGUGCCCGUUGGAGAGGUGAAGACUUAUAGCACUUUGCACCAAAGACUGCUAUUUUAAGGGUUGUCAAAAGCACUGUGGAAGUGACAAAGGUAAGGCUGA